GACGAACGCUGGCGGCGUGCUUAACACAUGCAAGUCGAACGGUGACGGCCAGCUUGCUGGUCUGAUCAGUGGCGAACGGGUGAGUAACACGUGAGCAACCUGCCCUUCACUCUGGGAUAAGCCUUGGAAACGAGGUCUAAUACCGGAUAUGAGACGCACCGGCAUCGGUAGCGUCUGGAAAGAUUUAUCGGUGAGGGAUGGGCUCGCGGCCUAUCAGCUUGUUGGUGGGGUGAUGGCCUACCAAGGCGACGACGGGUAGCCGGCCUGAGAGGGCGACCGGCCACACUGGGACUGAGACACGGCCCAGACUCCUACGGGAGGCAGCAGUGGGGAAUAUUGCACAAUGGGCGCAAGCCUGAUGCAGCGACGCCGCGUGAGGGAUGACGGCCUUCGGGUUGUAAACCUCUUUCAGCAGGGAAGAAGCGCAAGUGACGGUACCUGCAGAAGAAGCGCCGGCUAACUACGUGCCAGCAGCCGCGGUAAUACGUAGGGCGCAAGCGUUGUCCGGAAUUAUUGGGCGUAAAGAGCUCGUAGGCGGUUUGUCGCGUCUGCUGUGAAAUCCUCAGGCUCAACCUGGGGCUUGCAGUGGGUACGGGCAGACUAGAGUGCGGUAGGGGUGACUGGAAUUCCUGGUGUAGCGGUGGAAUGCGCAGAUAUCAGGAGGAACACCGAUGGCGAAGGCAGGUCACUGGGCCGCAACUGACGCUGAGGAGCGAAAGCAUGGGGAGCGAACAGGAUUAGAUACCCUGGUAGUCCAUGCCGUAAACGUUGGGCACUAGGUGUGGGGCUCAUUCCACGAGUUCCGUGCCGCAGCAAACGCAUUAAGUGCCCCGCCUGGGGAGUACGGCCGCAAGGCUAAAACUCAAAGAAAUUGACGGGGGCCCGCACAAGCGGCGGAGCAUGCGGAUUAAUUCGAUGCAACGCGAAGAACCUUACCAAGGCUUGACAUGCACCGGUAACACUCAGAGAU
Molecule: ribosomal RNA, 970 nt
Filed under: Cellulomonas oligotrophica
Lineage: Bacteria; Bacillati; Actinomycetota; Actinomycetes; Micrococcales; Cellulomonadaceae
Description: bacterial SSU rRNA
Rfam family: Bacterial small subunit ribosomal RNA
Source: RNAcentral